AGUGCCGUUGAUACUGGGGAGCUAGGAUUUGGUUGCUGUGGGUGGAAUGUGUGGUGUAGCGGUGAAAUGCUUAGAGAUCACACAGAAUAUCGAUUGCGAAGGCAGCUCACAAAGCCAAGAUUGACGCUGAGGCACGAAAGUGUGGGGAUCAAACAGGAUUAGAUACCCUGGUAGUCCACACUGUAAACGAUGAUAACUCGCUGUCGGCGAUACACAGGCGGUGGCCAAGCGAAAGCGAUAAGUUAUCCACCUGGGGAGUACGACCGCAAGGUUGAAACUCAAAGGAAUUGACGGGGGCCCGCACAAGCGGAGGAACAUGUGGUUUAAUUCGAUGAUACGCGAGGAACCUUACCCGGGCUCGAACGGUGCAGGAAUAUGGUAGAGAUAUCAUAGCUAGCAAUAGUCUGUAUCGAGGUGCUGCAUGGUUGUCGUCAGCUCGUGCCGUGAGGUGUCGGCUUAAGUGCCAUAACGAGCGCAACCCUUGUCAUUAGUUACCAUCAGGUCAAGCUGGGGACUCUAAUGAGACUGCCACCGUAAGGUGAGAGAAAGGGGGGGAUGACGUCAAAUCAGCACGGCCUUUAUGUCCGGGGCGACACACGUGUUACAAUGGGGGGUACAGAGGGCAGCCAUCCGGCGACGGAGCGCCAAUCUCAAAACCCUUCUCAGUUCGGAUUGGAGUCUGCAACCCGA
This 690-nucleotide ribosomal RNA is filed under the name uncultured bacterium. RNAcentral's name for it is "bacterial SSU rRNA". It matches the Rfam family "Bacterial small subunit ribosomal RNA", at positions 620 to 1315 of the family's 1533-position model. The record is from RNAcentral.